Molecule: non-coding RNA, 1235 nt
Organism: Cherax quadricarinatus
Lineage: Eukaryota; Metazoa; Arthropoda; Malacostraca; Decapoda; Parastacidae
Source: RefSeq, a predicted model, not a curated record
UAGGAUAACCCAAUAACGUUAAACAAUAUGAGUGUGAUGGUGUCGAUAACUUCAGUCAUUUAGUAAGGGUAUUGUCAUUCAUUAGUAACUCUGGUGUCUGCUGGCACUACUCUGCUGACUGGCUCAGCUGUCUGUCUGCUGGUUCAGGCUCUGCUGGCUCUGGCUCUGCUGGCUCUGGCUCUGGCUCUGCUGCCUGCUACAUUAUGGCUACUGUACCAAGGAUUUGUCAGGCUCUCAAGUUGGAAGCACCUCUGUUUCGCAUCAGCCUACAAAAGUUUUGUUCAGAUGCCUCAAAGCCUCCGAAAGCAACUAAAGCAUCCAAGGUGCCUCAGAGUGUAGAGACCCCGAAAGCUGCCACUCCGAAAGCUGCCACUCCGAAAGCUGCCACUCCGAAAGCUGCUGCCCCAAAAGCUGCCAUCCCAAAGGCUUCAGCUGCAGAAUCUGUGAUACCAAAGGCUCCAGAUAUUCAUGAAUACAAAUCAGCAGCCACACCAUCUGAUCCUGGCCACUCUGUUGGUCCUGGAGCACUCAAGAGUGGAGACUACCCAAACACAGAAUAUUUUUGCUAUGAGAAAAUGAGUUUUUAUGACUUAGAAGUGGAGAUGGCACCUCACCGUCUUCCACAACCUUCAGCUAACAAUGGACGUCUUUGAAUCAGUUAAAUGAUUACAUAUUGCAUGGACCAAGCUGAGGUCCAGCAUAGAUAUGAACUAGCAUCUUGGCUAAUUCCUCAGUCACCACACAAGCAACACCUCAAAGGUUAUUCUUCAGAGGAACCAUAUAGUGGACUUUCCAUAGAAGUCAACAUCAUCACUUGUCAAACAUACCAAUCAUCAAGAGAAACUCAAGACUUAUCGCCACAGAAGACAACACUCAAUACCGAAGAAUCCUGGAAUCAUCGCUUAUCUCUAUAACCAACAAUUUCAACCAGAACAACGGCUUCUAUAACAUAGCUGAACCACUUGCCAAGAAACUUCUUCAUCGCUAUCUCACAUAAGAACAUAGAACACUGCAGAAGGUCUUCUCACAACUUGUCCAAUACCCCUGCCAAGCUACCCAAGACUCUAUAACUCCACCCGGUAGAUCAUCAGAUGCAGCAUUCUCCACCUGACCUCAACAUUCUGAACAUGACUAUAAAUACUCCCGUACCUUCCACCCCAGGUAGAUCUGUGUGAGACUUGAAAAAAGCCCAAUGUGUGGGUGAAACGUUGUCAAUAAAGGAUCACAUUAUACUG